AUUGAACGCUGGCGGAAUGCUUUACACAUGCAAGUCGAACGGCAGCACGGACUUCGGUCUGGUGGCGAGUGGCGAACGGGUGAGUAAUGUAUCGGAACGUGCCCAGUCGUGGGGGAUAACGUAGUGAAAAUUACGCUAAUACCGCAUACGAUCUAUGGAUGAAAGCGGGGGAUCGCAAGACCUCGCGCGAUUGGAGCGGCCGAUAUCAGAUUAGGUAGUUGGUGGGGUAAAGGCCCACCAAGCCAACGAUCUGUAGCUGGUCUGAGAGGACGACCCACCAGACUGGAACUGAGACACGGUCCAGGCGGCUACGGGAGGCAGCAGUGGGGAAUUUUGGACAAUGGGCGAAAGCCUGAUCCAGCCAUUCCGCGUGCAGGAUGAAGGCCCUCGGGUUGUAAACUGCUUUUGUACAGAACGAAAAGGUUUCUACUAAUACUAGGAGCUCAUGACGGUACUGUAAGAAUAAGCACCGGCUAACUACGUGCCAGCCGCCGCAGUAA
This 500-nucleotide ribosomal RNA is filed under the name uncultured bacterium. RNAcentral's name for it is "partial 16S ribosomal RNA". It matches the Rfam family "Bacterial small subunit ribosomal RNA", at positions 30 to 523 of the family's 1533-position model. The record is from RNAcentral.